This is a non-coding RNA of Musa acuminata subsp. malaccensis (wild Malaysian banana), 2641 nucleotides long. NCBI's taxonomy places the organism in Eukaryota, Viridiplantae, Streptophyta, Magnoliopsida, Zingiberales, Musaceae. The record is from RefSeq and is a predicted model, not a curated record.
CAUAGCAUAUUCCUGAAAGUUAGAGUACUGAUCAAGCCAAGUUUUCAUUUCAGCUAAUGGAAGGUGCAGCUGGAGAUUUCCAAUAUGUAGAUGCUCAUGAAACAAUGGAUGUUCAUUAUCAGCAUGGAGCAUUUGGUCUUACGAGUUCUUCUGGAGAUGCUUAUUCCUGUUAUCACAACACUGACACAUUCCAUGAAGCCUGUGGUGAACAGUUGACUAACUUGGAUCCCACUGGAGGACCAGUUCAGUCUCCCAGUAUAUUCUAUCUGGGAUCGUAUCAUGGUUCUGGUUCUCAUAAAGGCAGCAUGAUUCCAACUUCUUGUUCCAUUGGUGCUUCUAGGGAUUUCUGCAACUCAUUACAGAAGACACCCAUCAUGAGUAGAGAUUCCUCAUUUUAUUUCACAGAACAACACAACACUUCCACUCUCCAAGCUCAAGUUCAGGUUUCACCUAACACCAAAUUGCUAUCUAUCUCCCAUCGUCCACAAAAUUCAGGUGCAACAUACUUGAAGACUGGUAAUUGCUCCAACAGUAUUAUUACUUUUCCAAUGAUGGAGCAAGGGCUGUCAUCCGAUGCUCCAUCAUCUAGCAAAUUUGCAUUGCAUGAUUCCAUUAAUAAAGCAGAAUCUUCCGAGGUUGUCAAAGCUUUCAUUUAUGGUGCAGAGAGGUUACAUUUGCCUUUGAGCGAUCUAUCAUGUGGAAAACCUUCUGGCCUAAUGCACUCUUUUGAGUCAGAAUAUCUAAAUGAUUUUGUCACUAAUCAUCCAGACAUGACACCUGAAAGUUCUUCAUUGUUCCAUCCUGAAGAUGUCCCGGUGACUCGCCUAUGUGAUCAACAACCUGAGCAUGUUAUGGAUGAUGCGGCCAUGCAAAUCAAUCAGAGUGUGCUUGAUGUGAUGUCUGUGUCAUCGUGCUUGUCUGAAGGUGAUAAGAGUGGCUGCAACAUGGUUACCGGGAUAAAUGUGAAGCAAGCUGAGAACUCCAUUUUAGCUGCAGUUAAUUCGCUGGUGUUAGAAAGUAAAAGUAAGGAGAAUUCUUCAAUACCACCCACUCAACUACUUUCUGAUAAUGACCAGUUUAAUGGCAUGGAGUUAAAUAUGAGGGCAAACAGCCUUGUGCAAGAAUUGUGGGAUGGUGUAACAAUGCCAGUUGGCCAUAACAGUUGUUCAGAUAUGAGUGCUGGUAUUUCAGAUUGCUACUCAGCAAUGGAGACGGGCUCAAUUCAUGGCACUGAUAAAGGGCUUUUCUCAGAGUCUGGUCUUCAACAAUUAUUGGAUGCUAUAGCUGGUGACCAUUUUAGUAAAACUUCCGCUUAUAGAUCUAGUGCUAAUCCUAUUUCUGGUCUUAAUUUGGAGCAUCAAUUUUCUACUAGUGUGGGUGGUCCUUCGGUGUACAUGAAUCAGGUUCCUUCGGUAUGUGCUCCUUUCAUGAACGGUGCAUCUGAUGUGCUGUUGCCUCAUUGUAACCCUGAGAUUGUUCAUGGAUCUGUGAAACAAGCACCGUCAAAUUCGAACAUACGCUUAUGGAUUGAUGAUAGCUGCAGUAUAAACACAGAGAGUUCUGUGCUGAGUCAGUCCAAGAAGCCUGAAGAAGCUGCAAAGGUUAAGAAAAGGGCAAGACCUGGUGAAAGUACUCGGCCAAGGCCAAAAGAUCGUCAGCAGAUACAAGAUCGCCUGAAUGAGUUAAGAGAGAUUGUGCCUAAUGGUGCAAAGUGUAGCAUUGAUGCUUUGUUGGACAAAACAAUCAAACAUAUGCUAUUUUUGCAAAGUGUCACCAAGUACGCAGACAAGCUCAAACAAGCUGAUGAGCCCAAGAUUAUCAGUGAGCAGAGUGGUGUUGUUUUAAAGGACAAUCCUGGUGGUGCCAGUGGUGGUGGUGCAACGUGGGCAUAUGAAGUUGCAGGGCAAACCAUGGUCUGCCCAAUAAUAGUUGAGGAUCUCACACCCUCUGGCCAAAUGCUAGUUGAGAUGGUGUGUGAAGACCGAGGACUCUUUCUUGAGAUAGCAGAUAUCAUACGUGGAUUCGGCUUGAUAAUAUUAAAGGGUGUAAUGGAAAUUCGUGAAUGUAAAAUAUGGGCGAGGUUCUUGGUUGAGGCAAACCGGGAGGUGACUAGAAUGGAUAUAUUUCUGUCACUCAUUCAACUUCUACAACAAAACAGCUGUUUGCGAUCUGGUGAUCUGGCAACUAAGGUUGUUAACAAAGGAGCUCCGAUGUUCCCAAGUCAUCAUCAAUCUCCUGUCUAUUCCAGUUAGUUUAUCCGACAGAUUGCAGUGAUCCAUUAGUAGUUCUAUAAAUGCUUGAAGCCAGAUGUAUCUCAAGUGCAGCAUUUGAAGUUUUGGAGAUGAGCGUCCUGCCUUCAGGAUGGCGCAUGAUUGGGGACGCAUGACCAUUCAAUGUUGAGGAAGGCAGCCAGACAUGGAUGCCACAGAAGAUAGAUAGGAGGUUUGUGGUGAUACAUGUGCAGCGAUUGAAUGUCUAGGCUUGAAGGUGUGGUUCAUAGAUUUGGCAACGGCAUCAUGUGUGCACAAAAAAUGUCGGUCAGGUGCAACUGUCGUAUUUAUUUGUUCUAACCAUGUAAAGUUGUCAAGUCUCUGUCCUUUAGUUAUUAACAUAACCUGUUGGAACUAUAGAAUUUGGUCUU